Molecule: ribosomal RNA, 292 nt
Filed under: uncultured bacterium
Lineage: Bacteria
Description: partial 16S ribosomal RNA
Rfam family: Bacterial small subunit ribosomal RNA
Source: RNAcentral
GUGCCAGCCGCCGCGGUAAUACGGAGGGUGCAAGCGUUAUCCGGAUUCACUGGGUUUAAAGGGUGCGUAGGCGGGCAUGUAAGUCAGUGGUGAAAUCUCCGGGCUUAACCCGGAAAUUGCCGUUGAUACUAUGUGUCUUGAAUAUCGUUGAGGUUUGCGGAAUAUGUCAUGUAGCGGUGAAAUGCUUAGAUAUGACAUAGAACACCAAUUGCGAAGGCAGCAGGCUAAACGAACAUUGACGCUGAGGCACGAAAGCGUGGGGAUCAAACAGGAUUAGAAACCCCAGUAGUCC